CCUACGGGUGGCAGCAGUGCGGAAUAUUGGUCAAUGGCCGGAAGGCUGAACCAGCCAUGCCGCGUGAAGGUCAGUGCACUAUGGGCGGUAAACUUCUUUUGUGCGGGAGCAAUCAUGGUCACGUGUGGCCAGACGAGAGUACCGUACGAGUAAGCAUCGGCUAACUCCGUGCAAGCAGCGGCGGUAAUACGGGGGAUGCAAGCGUGAUCCGGACUUAUUGGGUUUAAAGGGUGCGUAGGCUGUGAGGUAAGUCAGCGGUGAAAUUCCCCCGCUCAACGGGGUGAAGUGCCAUUGAUACUGCCUUGCUGGAAUGCGGAUGCCGUGGGAGGAAUGUGUGGUGUAGCGGUGAAAUGCAUAGAUAUCACACAGAACACCGAUUGCGAAGGCAUCUCACGAAUCCGCGAUUGACGCUGAUGCACGAAAGCGUGGGUAUCAAACAGGAUUAGAUACCCGGGUAGUC
RNAcentral lists this ribosomal RNA (460 nucleotides) under uncultured bacterium. Its description in RNAcentral is "partial 16S ribosomal RNA". It matches the Rfam family "Bacterial small subunit ribosomal RNA", at positions 338 to 795 of the family's 1533-position model. The record is from RNAcentral.